GAUGAACGCUGGCGGCGUGCCUAAUACAUGCAAGUCGAGCGAACGGACGAGAAGCUUGCUUCUCUGAUGUUUGCGGCGGACGGGUGAGUAACACGUGGAUAACCUACCUAUAAGACUGGGAUAACUUCGGGAAACCGUAGCUAAUACCGGAUAAUAUUUUGAACCGCAUGGUUCAAAAGUGAAAGACGGUCUUGCUGUCACUUAUAGAUGGAUCCGCGCUGCAUUAGCUAGUUGGUAAGGUAACGGCUUACCAAGGCAACGAUGCAUAGCCGACCUGAGAGGGUGAUCGGCCACACUGGAACUGAGACACGGUCCAGACUCCUACGGGAGGCAGCAGUAGGGAAUCUUCCGCAAUGGGCGAAAGCCUGACGGAGCAACGCCGCGUGAGUGAUGAAGGUCUUCGGAUCGUAAAACUCUGUUAUUAGGGAAGAACAUAUGUGUAAGUAACUGUGCACAUCUUGACGGUACCUAAUCAGAAAGCCACGGCUAACUACGUG
Molecule: ribosomal RNA, 497 nt
Filed under: uncultured bacterium
Lineage: Bacteria
Description: partial 16S ribosomal RNA
Rfam family: Bacterial small subunit ribosomal RNA
Source: RNAcentral